CCCGGCUCUCCUCUUGCGAGUUCCCAAAGAGCCACAACCGUCGAGCCAUAGCCGCCGAUCCUCUCCUCACGCGACGCCACCCUCCCUCCAGCUUGAGGAUCGAAUCGGAGUGGCGAAUGAAGGUUCAUCAGCGGCGGAACCCUAGCAAUUUGUCCUUGUCGCAACCGUUCACUCUAGCGCCGCCUUCCCUCCUUCGCCAAGUCCCUUCUCCCCAAGCCAUCGUCGGUCUUCUUCCCUCUCAAGCCACGGCCUCCUGCUCUCCUCCUCACGCGAGCGCCAUAACGUCGCCGCCCUUUUGCCCGAUCCAAUCUCAACACGGGCAUAAGUUGACCCUUGCCGAACACCACCAAAUCUCUCCUUUCUCCGUUGGACAGUGACAACCAGUCGGGUGCCUCACCUCUGUUGGCCUCUCUUCGACCAUAGGCCACCACAUCAUCAUAACCAAAAGCUAUUGUGUCAUCAGCGAUCUGAAGGAGAGCAACAAACCAUCAGUUGGGGCAUUCGGAUUUAGAGUGGCUAAUUAGGUGUUCUUGCUUAGAUGUAUGCAUCUAAUUUGUUGUUCAUACAUUGAGGAUUGAGCGGUUGCAGAAGUUGCAGUAUUUGAUCAUGGUUCAUACACUCAGGAAUUGGGUUCGGAUGAGCGUCUCGACAUGGGAGUACUUGACAUGAUCUACUGUUAGAGGCGGGUACUUCUUGCUUUAUUUCUUGUAACAGGUAGAUGA
Zingiber officinale is the source of this 722-nucleotide long non-coding RNA. RefSeq lists it as uncharacterized. The transcript has 5 exons. Lineage: Eukaryota; Viridiplantae; Streptophyta; Magnoliopsida; Zingiberales; Zingiberaceae. The record is from RefSeq and is a predicted model, not a curated record.